Lates calcarifer (barramundi perch) is the source of this 1569-nucleotide long non-coding RNA. RefSeq lists it as uncharacterized. NCBI's taxonomy places the organism in Eukaryota, Metazoa, Chordata, Actinopteri, Centropomidae. The transcript is spliced from 3 exons. The record is from RefSeq and is a predicted model, not a curated record.
UAACGUAACCGGGUGAACAAAGGGGUUUAGAAACGUUCGAUGUGGGCGGGUGAGACAGAGAGAAAAGGAAAGAGCGACACAGUAAAUGGGUGUGGAGGUUUCACACAGGGUUUCAGUCCCGGCUCUCAGUCCUGUCACUAAACAACUUAUAUGGCACUCUGGCUCUCACCGGGACAGGUCAGACUCGGGGCUGUUGAUUCCUACUACAGCGGCAGGAUUGGUGUUUAGAUGACCAUGUGUGGAAAUCUUAACUGAGACUUUUACAUUUAAAAGAAAAGGUGUCACCUUAAACUGGAAUCCUGUAAAGAAGAAGAAGAGAAUACACCUGCCUACUAAAAUAAAUAACACACUGGACAAACUAAGGAAUCGCUGGUUUUACUGAAGGAGUACAGUCAGACUGAGGAACCGAUUCAAAACAGCACCUUUUAAAUUUGAUCAGACAUGGCUGACUCACCUCACACCUGUGUAAAGAUGGAGGAAGUGGUCCCACUGCAAACCGUACCGACGUCAGGUGAAACUUGCAAUCAGGUGACCAGCUCUGGACGGGGCGUCGCGUCCUGCUGCGAUGACAAGCACCACAGGACACUGGCCAUCUGCAGCAUCAUCUGCGGGAUCUCCUGCAUCGGAAUCAAAGCUUUGAUUAAUUCAGUCAAGGCUGAGGAAACAGAAGAUCCAGAGACAGCGGCAAAGUUUUCACAACAGGCGCGAAAAUUGGGCAUCAUCUCUGUGGUGACGUGGGUUGGCAUUCUGAUUUCAAUCCCCAUCCUGCUGGCACUGGGCUCAUAUCUUCUCACUCUGCAAGACUGACCAACUUUGAUAAGCUUCUACUGAGGGGAAACAGACAGAGCGGCUCUUUUGAUUCUGGAUGUUUAUAGAGAAAAAGGAGACAACACAAAGCUGCUUAUCGGUGACUAAAAAACCAUGAAGGCGUGAAGAAACUGGAAGUUACACGAGACACAGCUUUGGCCUUCAUCUGUGCUGCUGCUCCAGUUUACACUUCUGUGCUUCCUCUUAACCAUUUAUACUUUUUACACAAGGAACAACAUAGUAUUAAACAUUUUUCCAUGUUUUCUUAUACGCUGUAAUAUUUAUUUACCAAUAUAUGAACAUAUGGACAAAUCCAAAUCUAAAUGACCAUAGAAAAUCCAGCAUUACCUAUAGUUUGAGACAUGACACUAGAUAACGCAUAUACAUUAUGUAUUAAAGAUAAUGGUUAUUUCCCAGUACUGACCCAAUUCUUAAUAUUCUGGCACCAUAAACACCAUUACUGUUUACCGUACUUAUUUUAGACGUUUAUAUACUUGCAGUUACUAGAAAAGUUAAUAAAUUAGUCUGUGAAUGUGAAACACACACACCUGUUGAUGAAGGACUGGGUCUGUACUGGAAAUAACAUGGCAUGGCAGUGAUCAUGGCAGUGCUUCUUCACAACAUCCUGCUCCUGUUGUGCCAACGUUUCCUUGGCAUUAUUGCAUUUUUACCAUAUUAGCUUUAUUAAUGUAUCGUAACGUAUCGAUAUGUUGUAUUUUUAUACAAUCAUAUAACAUUUUAUAAUAAAAUGACAAAAACCUU